ACCCGCACAAGCGGUGGAUGAUGUGGAUUAAUUCGAUGCAACGCGAAAACCUUACCUACCCUUGACAUGUCCGGAAUCCUGCAGAGAUGCGGGAGUGCCCGAAAGGGAAUCGGAACACAGGUGCUGCAUGGCUGUCGUCAGCUCGUGUCGUGAGAUGUUGGGUUAAGUCCCGCAACGAGCGCAACCCUUAUCAUUAGUUGCUACGCAAGGGCACUCUAAUGAGACUGCCGGUGACAACCGAGAAGGUGGGGAUGACGUCAAGUCCUCAUGGCCCUUAUGGGUAGGGCUUCACACGUCAUACAAUGGUCGGUACAGAGGGUUGCCAAGCCGCGAGGUGGAGCCAAUCCCAGAAAGCCGAUCGUAGUCCGGAUUGUUCUCUGCAACUCGAGAGCAUGAAGUCGGAAUCGCUAGUAAUCGCGGAUCAGCAUGUCGCGGUGAAUACGUUCCCGGGUCUU
This 455-nucleotide ribosomal RNA is filed under the name uncultured Thiobacillus sp. Its description in RNAcentral is "bacterial SSU rRNA". It matches the Rfam family "Bacterial small subunit ribosomal RNA", at positions 919 to 1382 of the family's 1533-position model. Lineage: Bacteria; Pseudomonadati; Pseudomonadota; Betaproteobacteria; Nitrosomonadales; Thiobacillaceae. The record is from RNAcentral.